This 446-nucleotide ribosomal RNA is filed under the name uncultured bacterium. RNAcentral's name for it is "partial 16S ribosomal RNA". It matches the Rfam family "Bacterial small subunit ribosomal RNA", at positions 338 to 795 of the family's 1533-position model. The record is from RNAcentral.
CCUACGGGUGGCAGCAGUCGAGAAUCAUUCACAAUGGGGGUAACCCUGAUGGUGCGACGCCGCGUGGGGGAAUGAAGGUCUUCGGAUUGUAAACCCCUGUCAUGUGGGAGCAAAUUAAAAAGAUAGUACCACAAGAGGAAGAGACGGCUAACUAUGUGUCAGCAACCUCGGUAAUACAGAGGUCUCAAGCGUUGUUCGGAAUCACUGGGCGUAAAGGGUGCGGAGGCUGUUUCGGCAGCCGUGUGGGAAAGGCGCGGGCUCAAACCGCGGGCGGCACAUGAAACUGCGAUACUAGAGCAAGGGAGGGGGAUGCGGAAUUCUCGGGGUAGCGGUGAAAUGCGUAGAUAUCGAGAGGAACACUCGUGGCGAAGGCGGGUUCCUGGACAUUAACUGACGCUGAGGCACGAAGGCCAGGGGAGCGAAAGGGAUUAGAUACCCUGGUAGUC